GCCGGGUGUGGUGGUGCAUGCCUGUAAUCCCAGCUACUCAGGAGGCUGAGGCAGGAGAAUUGCUUGAACCCAAGAGGUGGAGGUUGCAGUGACCUGAGAUGGCACCACUGCACUCCAGCCUGGGUGACAGAGUGAGAUUCUGUCUCAA
Pan troglodytes (chimpanzee) is the source of this 148-nucleotide non-coding RNA. It matches the Rfam family "Metazoan signal recognition particle RNA". From Rfam's summary of the family: The signal recognition particle (SRP) is a universally conserved ribonucleoprotein. It is involved in the co-translational targeting of proteins to membranes. Lineage: Eukaryota; Metazoa; Chordata; Mammalia; Primates; Hominidae. The record is from Rfam.